ACUUUCAACAACGGAUCUCUUGGUUCUGGCAUCGAUGAAGAACGCAGCAAAAUGCGAUAAGUAAUGUGAAUUGCAGAAUUCAGUGAAUCAUCGAAUCUUUGAACGCACAUUGCGCCCGCCAGCAUUCUGGCGGGCAUGCCUGUUCGAGCGUC
Molecule: ribosomal RNA, 152 nt
Filed under: Hypocreales sp. WS1
Lineage: Eukaryota; Fungi; Ascomycota; Sordariomycetes; Hypocreales
Description: Verticillium sp. WS1 5.8S ribosomal RNA
Rfam family: 5.8S ribosomal RNA
About the family: 5.8S ribosomal RNA (5.8S rRNA) is a component of the large subunit of the eukaryotic ribosome. It is transcribed by RNA polymerase I as part of the 45S precursor that also contains 18S and 28S rRNA.
Source: RNAcentral